This 575-nucleotide ribosomal RNA is filed under the name Russula sp. RNAcentral's name for it is "SSU rRNA". It matches the Rfam family "Bacterial small subunit ribosomal RNA", at positions 344 to 969 of the family's 1533-position model. The record is from RNAcentral. Lineage: Eukaryota; Fungi; Basidiomycota; Agaricomycetes; Russulales; Russulaceae.
CAUUUCAGCAGUCCAAAAUAUUAGUCAAUGCUCGAAAGAGUGAACUAGCUAACUGAAUCAAUUAUAAUAAUUGAUAACAUAAGGGAAAAUAAUGAUAUUACCUUAUUAUUAGUGUCGUCCAAAACUGGUGCCAGAAGACUCGGUAAGGCCAGAGACACAAACGUUAAUCGUCUUAAUCAGGCGUAAAGGGUUUGUAGGCGGCUUUAAAAUUUAAGUUAAUAAAAUCUAUUAAGUAAAGAAUAAAAGCUAGAAUCAAAUAGAGGAUAUAUGAAAGAAUGCUUAGAGUAGGUCUGAUAUCCUUAGAUACUAAGUAGAAUAUUAAAGGCGAAAGCUUUUUUCCAUUAAUGAUUGACGCUCAGAAACGAAGGUGAGGAUAGGAAAUAGGAUUAGAUACCCAGAAUACCCCUCUCUGUAAACGAUGAAUGGUAGUUAUUAAUAAAAUUAUUAAUGGCAAUGUUAACACGAUAACCAUUCCGCCUUGUGAGUACAACUGCAAAGUUGAAAACAAAAAAAUUAGUCGGUUUCGGAGCAAACGAAGUGAAGCAUGUUAUUUAAUUCAAUAAAUCCGCAAAAAA